Dipodomys ordii (Ord's kangaroo rat) is the source of this 65-nucleotide non-coding RNA. The record is from Rfam. Lineage: Eukaryota; Metazoa; Chordata; Mammalia; Rodentia; Heteromyidae.
GGUGGCUCAGGAGUAGAGUGCUUGCCUUGCAUGCAUGAGGCCCUGGGUUCAAUUCCUCAGCACCA